Molecule: ribosomal RNA, 253 nt
Filed under: uncultured bacterium
Lineage: Bacteria
Description: partial 16S ribosomal RNA
Rfam family: Bacterial small subunit ribosomal RNA
Source: RNAcentral
UACGGAGGGUGCGAGCGUUGUCCGGAAUCACUGGGCGUAAAGGGUGCGUAGGCGGGUCUUUAAGUCAGGGGUGAAAUCCUGGAGCUCAACUCCAGAACUGCCUUUGAUACUGGCGAUCUCGAGUCCGGGAGAGGUGAGUGGAACUGCGAGUGUAGAGGUGAAAUUCGUAGGAUAUUCGCAAGAACACCAGUGGCGAAGGCGGCUCACUGGCCCGGUACUGACGCUGAGGUGCGAAAGCGUGGGGAGCAACAGG